This 21-nucleotide ribosomal RNA is filed under the name Strumella coryneoidea. RNAcentral describes it as "partial 26S ribosomal RNA". RNAcentral also lists the same sequence under 5 other names. The record is from RNAcentral. Lineage: Eukaryota; Fungi; Ascomycota; Pezizomycetes; Pezizales; Sarcosomataceae.
UGACCUCGGAUCAGGUAGGGA